Molecule: ribosomal RNA, 190 nt
Filed under: uncultured Staphylococcus sp.
Lineage: Bacteria; Bacillati; Bacillota; Bacilli; Caryophanales; Staphylococcaceae
Description: partial 16S ribosomal RNA
Rfam family: Bacterial small subunit ribosomal RNA
Source: RNAcentral
CGGGAAACCGGAGCUAAUACCGGAUAACAUGUUGAACCGCAUGGUUCAACAGUGAAAGACGGUCUUGCUGUCACUUAUAGAUGGAUCCGCGCCGCAUUAGCUAGUUGGUAAGGUAACGGCUUACCAAGGCAACGAUGCGUAGCCGACCUGAGAGGGUGAUCGGCCACACUGGAACUGAGACACGGUCCAG